ACAUUUCUUGCAAAUACCCCUUCCAAUGUCCAUCCUUUCAUAAAGAAAGUUUGUUCCCUUGGAGUUUAUUUUUAUCUUCUUCAUUUGACUUCCACCUUUGACUACAUUUAGUCAUAGUCCCUAAACUCCCACUAUCUCUCUUGAAACUUAUUUCAAUUGUGUUAUGCACAUCAAACAUUUUGGAGAGCAUGCGGUUUAUUGUUCACUACAUAGUUUACAAUAAACUUAGUGAACCAUUAGGAUAGGGACAUAAAGGUGAAGUCCUUGCCUAGUUUCCGUCUCGUUAAGUGGUUUAUCACUUCAACACUCAAUGAUUCAAAAUCAUCAUAAGUCCAUGUUGAUGGACUAUUUUUGUCAACCCUAAACAUAAUUACAAACUUUCAAGAGUUGUUCAAGGCAACUCUCAUUUCUUCAUACAACAAUUUGUAAGUGAAGAAUCAUGGCACAUUAAGUGUCCAUGCCUUUGUGCUUUCUUCUCAAGUUCCUUGUUCAUGUAACAAAGAAACAAGCACUAAGUGUUUGCAUUGACUAAGAGUUGUUCAAAGCAACUCCUAUUUCUUCAUACAACAUUUUGUAAUUGAAGAAUUAUGACAUUAAAAGUGUUGUCCUCUUUAUGAUAGACUUUUCUAACAUAUUCUUCUAAUGAUACAUUAUCAAUAGGAAGAUUGUGAGGAUGAGACUACUUAGGUACAUUUACAAGCCAUUAAAGACAAUCUAUGGUUUUGUAGUACCAAGUCUGGAAACUAAAGCUUUCGGCUUUUAUUUGUCAAGUGUUGGAUAGCGUUUGCAAAUAUAUUGGUAAACAAAU
This 808-nucleotide long non-coding RNA is filed under the name Malus domestica (apple). Its description in RNAcentral is "long non-coding RNA (MDOM_LNC004459)". Lineage: Eukaryota; Viridiplantae; Streptophyta; Magnoliopsida; Rosales; Rosaceae. The record is from RNAcentral.